GAUGAACGCUGGCGGCGUGCCUAAUACAUGCAAGUCGAGCGAACGGACGAGAAGCUUGCUUCUCUGAUGUUAGCGGCGGACGGGUGAGUAACACGUGGAUAACCUACCUAUAAGACUGGGAUAACUUCGGGAAACCGGAGCUAAUACCGGAUAAUAUGUUGAACCGCAUGGUUCAAAAGUGAAAGACGGUCUUGCUGUCACUUAUAGAUGGAUCCGCGCUGCAUUAGCUAGUUGGUAAGGUAACGGCUUACCAAGGCAACGAUGCAUAGCCGACCUGAGAGGGUGAUCGGCCACACUGGAACUGAGACACGGUCCAGACUCCUACGGGAGGCAGCAGUAGGGAAUCUUCCGCAAUGGGCGAAAGCCUGACGGAGCAACGCCGCGUGAGUGAUGAAGGUCUUCGGAUCGUAAAACUCUGUUAUUAGGGAAGAACAUAUGUGUAAGUAACUGUGCACAUCUUGACGGUACCUAAUCAGAAAGCCACGGCUAACUACGUG
RNAcentral lists this ribosomal RNA (497 nucleotides) under uncultured bacterium. RNAcentral's name for it is "partial 16S ribosomal RNA". It matches the Rfam family "Bacterial small subunit ribosomal RNA", at positions 28 to 507 of the family's 1533-position model. The record is from RNAcentral.